Molecule: long non-coding RNA, 355 nt
Organism: Dermacentor albipictus
Lineage: Eukaryota; Metazoa; Arthropoda; Arachnida; Ixodida; Ixodidae
Source: RefSeq, a predicted model, not a curated record
AUUGAUGCGUUGCCACACUGCGCGAGGUCGAGAAGGAGAAGCAGAAGAAGAAGACAUCGACGACGUCUGCCACGCGCUUGCGGGUCGCGCUGAAUUCCGGGCCGCUGACCGAGAACCUUCGGGGCUGCAUUCCAGGAGAAACCCAGUUAGGCCCCGCCACCAUGGGGGAGUCUGGGACGGUGGGCUCCUCCACCGCUCUGACGUCAGGCUACACCGGAACGACUGGUGCAAGCUCAACGGCGGCUACAAGCUCGACCAGUAGGCAUGAGGAUCCUCCCAUCCACGGAGACCACGCCUCAGCACCGAGGCAGAGGCAUAAGAACCAUAGCAAGCAUGGCAGAGAAGGACAUCAUGG